This 63-nucleotide transfer RNA is filed under the name Crypturopus tuberculatus. RNAcentral describes it as "tRNA-Trp". The record is from RNAcentral. Lineage: Eukaryota; Metazoa; Arthropoda; Malacostraca; Amphipoda; Micruropodidae.
AAAGCUUUAAGUUAAAAAAAACUUAGGGCCUUCAAAGUCCUCAAAGGGGCCUCUCAAGCUUGA